GUCAAGCGUGCGGCGGCGGCCGUGGAAGGUGGGGUUGGCCGCCUAGGGUCGGCGGUGGGCUCGGUGUGGGAUAGCCGGCCCGGUCCGACGCGCUCCGCGAGGUCACGCGAGACACUCACCGAGGCAUGGCGGCAGGGCCUGGGCAUGGGAAUCGUGCGCACAGUGCGAGGAAGCCUCGGAGGGGAUACGAGCACAGGGCGGGUGGUUAGGAGAAUGGGGCUGGAGAGACGGGCGGGAGGGGCGGGACCUGGGCCCCGGGGACCUGCCGGCUCCCAGGCCCCAGGAAGACGCUGCUCAUGCGUGGAGCGGCCGCAGGAAAGGUACUCCCCGCUAAGGCCUUCAGGGAGCGGCCCUUUGCCCUGUGCGAUCUCUUCCUUCCUUUCCCACGGGUUGCCAAAUCCUGUGACGCUGCCCCUUCUCUGGUGCUUCUCAGAUGCUCUGGUCGGCUCAGGAGACCUCGCAGCUGUUACACAGCUGUGGAAAUACCCUGGGCGCUGCUUCACUCCGAAGGCAGCAGCUGGGUUUGCCUCCCGACUCGACCCGCCACCGAGGCUCCUGAGCACUUGAAAUAUGGCCAGUCCACCUGAGACGGGCUGUGAGUGCGCAAUGCACAUCAAACUUCUAAGACUGAGCGUGAGCCACCGCACCAGGCCUCCUCUUCUAUCUUUUAACGUGGCUUUUAGAAACUUUUAAAAUUACAUAGAUGGUCUGCAUUUUGUUAGUGUUGGACACUGGCAGCCCUCCGUCUCCCUCACUGCCUGGAAUCUGCUGCUCUCCUUUUCCCCAGGUGCCUGCCCUCUCCAUUCCUCCUCACUUUCCUCCGCUGGGAAUCGGCACCGCCACUGAUUUUAAAGUUGAAACUUGGCAGGCAAAAGGGAGGUACUCCCAUGUUAAAUGUAUACACAUUGACUGCAAUAGUAUCCUGACUUUUGAAAUGGUAAAACGUAGAGUAAGUUGCUUUUGUACUUUGAGAGUUUCUGUUUGUUGAUCAGUUGUUCCUGAGAACAUGCUUCUCCUUCCGACAGGGAACUCCCUCCACUAGAAUAUGAGCUCCUUGUGGUCAAGACUGGGUCCCCUGUUCCCUUCCCCCCAGUGCCAGCGGAGCAAAGGUCAGUCAGCGGCAUAAGUUGUACCUGCUGGGAGAACUGUCUGCUUCCUCCGGGUGACUUUUCUGGCCAAGAAGGAAUAUGAGUAUGUGCCUCCCUGAGCACUGGCCUGGAGCCCACUCAGGAAACACCAUCUCUUCAUAAAUGGUUUUGAUUGCAGGCAUUGUUCCUUCUGCUCUCUGGAUGAUGGAAAUUGCUUCAGGUCACUGCACUAUCUUCCAACGUUUUUGUGGUUGCCAUGAGCUGUUGUACAGACCACAGUUUGGGGCCUGAGACAAGCUGGGCAUGGUGUUGCAUGCCUAUAAUCUCAGCUACUUUGGAGGGUGAGGCAGGAGAAUAGCUUGGGCCCAGGAGGUCUAGGCUGCAGUGAGCCAUGAUCAUACCACUGCACUUCUGUCUGCGUGACAGAGACCCUGUAUCUUACAUAAAACCCCAGCCCAUAUUUGUACCACAUCUAGAUACGAGGUCAGAGUUCAGAUGCCUAAAUAUUGUAGCUUGUGUUUUGUCCACUGUUGGGGGAAGAGUGAAGAGAUUUGACAUACCAUAAUGUUGAUUAGCUUGUGAUGGUUUGGCGGCAGCUUAGGCCAGAGCAUAAAGUAAAAAGGAAAAGUGUUCACAGACAAUGAAAACUGGGACCAAGUGGUGAAUACUCAAGGCACACAGACCAGGCAAGGAUCCCAGUGGCCGUGGAUGAGUCUCAGGCUGGCUCUGGGCCAGUGGAACACACCUCAGUGUGGGUGAAGGCCUAGCCAGGGUAGCAGAGGGCAGGGCUACAGAACAGCAGCCCAGGUGGCUGUGGCCGACCUGACAUUCUCCUGUGAAAAUCAGGUGCCCAACCAGCACUAAUCUAGAUAGAUGGCAGCAUUUUUUUUCUUUAAAGACAGGAUCUUGCUAUGUUGCUCAGGCUGGUCUUGAACUCCUGACCUCAAAGGAUCCUCCCCUCUUCAGCUUCCCAAAGCACUGGGGUUACAGAUGUGAGCCAGCACGCCCAGCCGAAUCACAGUAUCUUAGACAGAUGCCAUGGCUGCCCAUAGGGUCCUCUCAAGGUGCCUCUGCCCUUGGACUGGCUUCCUACACCAACCUGACAGGUGCAGCAAAGGUGGACUUUCUGGUAAGGCUGGAGGAGGAAGCCUGGUCUGCGAUGGCCUGAGACGCCCUCUAUGGGGGUUGUUGAGUGGAUGGAAAUGUGCAGGGCAUGGGUCCUGCCCCCAAGA
RNAcentral lists this long non-coding RNA (2320 nucleotides) under Homo sapiens (human). Its description in RNAcentral is "non-protein coding lnc-ANAPC11-7:2". The record is from RNAcentral. Lineage: Eukaryota; Metazoa; Chordata; Mammalia; Primates; Hominidae.